UGGCGGCAGGCUUAACACAUGCAAGUCGAGCGGUAACAGGGGGUGCUUGCACCCCGCUGACGAGCGGCGGACGGGUGAGUAAUGCAUAGGAAACUGCCCAGUAGUGGGGGAUAGCCCGGGGAAACCCGGAUUAAUACCGCAUACGCCCUUCGGGGGAAAGCAGGGGAUCUUCGGACCUUGCGCUAUUGGAUGUGCCUAUGUCGGAUUAGCUAGUUGGUGGGGUAAGAGCCUACCAAGGCGACGAUCCGUAGCUGGUCUGAGAGGAUGAUCAGCCACAUCGGGACUGAGACACGGCCCGAACUCCUACGGGAGGCAGCAGUGGGGAAUAUUGGACAAUGGGGGCAACCCUGAUCCAGCCAUGCCGCGUGUGUGAAGAAGGCUUUCGGGUUGUAAAGCACUUUCAGUGAGGAGGAAAAGUUGGUCCCUAAUACGGGCCAGCCUUGACGUUACUCACAGAAGAAGCACCGGCUAACUCCGUGCCAGCAGCCGCGGUAAUA
RNAcentral lists this ribosomal RNA (497 nucleotides) under marine sediment bacterium ISA-7086. RNAcentral's name for it is "bacterial SSU rRNA". It matches the Rfam family "Bacterial small subunit ribosomal RNA", at positions 37 to 525 of the family's 1533-position model. The record is from RNAcentral.